GGGAAAAGUGUGAAAAUUCAAGUAAUCAAGCAAUCAAAGGUGGUGAGCAUUUUGGCAAAAGUAAAGAGAUAGUACCCGAGGUUCAAGAAUCGAAGUACUUGAAAUUCGACUCCCGAAAUAGCUCAGGAUAGUCGGUAGAUAGCUCAUUUCUUUGAGGGC
RNAcentral lists this small RNA (159 nucleotides) under Theobroma cacao (cacao). Its description in RNAcentral is "sRNA Tc01v2_g019610". The record is from RNAcentral. Lineage: Eukaryota; Viridiplantae; Streptophyta; Magnoliopsida; Malvales; Malvaceae.